Molecule: ribosomal RNA, 495 nt
Filed under: uncultured bacterium
Lineage: Bacteria
Description: partial 16S ribosomal RNA
Rfam family: Bacterial small subunit ribosomal RNA
Source: RNAcentral
GAUGAACGCUGGCGGCGUGCCUAAUACAUGCAAGUCGAGCGAACAGACGAGGAGCUUGCUCCUCUGACGUUAGCGGCGGACGGGUGAGUAACACGUGGAUAACCUACCUAUAAGACUGGGAUAACUUCGGGAAACCGGAGCUAAUACCGGAUAAUAUAUUGAACCGCAUGGUUCAAUAGUGAAAGACGGUUUUGCUGUCACUUAUAGAUGGAUCCGCGCCGCAUUAGCUAGUUGGUAAGGUAACGGCUUACCAAGGCAACGAUGCGUAGCCGACCUGAGAGGGUAUCCGGACACGCUGGAAGAGAGACACGGUCCACACUGCGACGGAGGGACGCCGUAGAGACUUUCCCGAAGCGGGAGAAGGGUAGACGGGGCAACGCCGGGUGAGUGAUGAAGGUAUUGGGAUGGGAAAACUCUGUUAUUAAGGAAGAAAAAAUGUGUAAAUACCUAUGCACGUUGAGACGGCACCUAAUAAGAACGCCACGUAUCUCCACG